This 300-nucleotide long non-coding RNA is filed under the name Brassica napus (rape). Its description in RNAcentral is "long non-coding RNA (BNAP_LNC023941)". The record is from RNAcentral. Lineage: Eukaryota; Viridiplantae; Streptophyta; Magnoliopsida; Brassicales; Brassicaceae.
AGGGUGACUGGGAAAAACAAGUACCCUUUACCCAGGAUUGAUGAAUUCCUGGAAUCAUAAACCUUAUUGUCCAGGAAGGACUUAAGGGAACAGAACAAUCUGUUAGGACUCAUGGUAGAGUGACCAGCCUAAAGAUUGGAACAUGUUCGCUAGGACUUGGCUGGUGCAUCGAGUGGCUUGGAGAUUGGUUGAAUCUACUAAGACUUGAGUACUCAGUAUGUUCCUAGGUACUGAAUUUGAUCUGGUCAUGGAACUAGAGCGUUCUACAUGGACUUGGUGUCUACUACGAACGCAACCUGG